AGUCGAGUGGCGUAAGGGGCAGUAAGGCGUGGGCAACCUGCCCCCAGGACCGGCACAGCCCCGGGAAACCGGGGGUAAUUCCGGACGACGUGACGGGGACGCCUGUUCCUGGCACCAAAGGCCGCAAGGCGCCUGGGGAGGGGCUCACGUGGUAUUAGCUAGACGGCGGGGUGACGGCCCACCGUGGCUUAGAUGCCUAGCGGGUGUGAGAGCACGACCCGCGCCACUGGCACUGAGACACUGGCCAGACUCCUACGGGAGGCUGCAGUCGAGGAUCUUCGGCAAUGGGCGCAAGCCUGACCGAGCGACGCCGCGUGGAGGAUGAAGGCCUUCGGGUUGUAAACUCCUGUCGAGGGGGAGGAAGGCCCCGCAAGGGGCUUGACCUAGCCCUGGAGGAAGCACGGGCUAAGUUCGUGCCAGCAGCCGCGGUAAGACGAACCGUGCGAACGUUGUUCGGAAUCACUGGGCUUAAAGGGCGCGUAGGCGGCACGGCACGUCUCGGGUGAAAUCGUUCGGCUUAACCGGACCAGGGCCCGGGAUACGGCCGUGCUCGAGGGGGCAAGGGGCGGACGGAACUUCCGGUGGAGCGGUGAAAUGCGUUGAUAUCGGAAGGAACGCCGGUGGCGAAAGCGGUCCGCUGGGUCCCACCUGACGCUGAGGCGCGAAAGCCAGGGGAGCGAACGGGAUUAGAUACCCCGGUAGUCCUGGCCCUAAACGAUGGGCACUGGGUAGCGAGCCUUCGGGGCCCGCUGCCGCAGCUAAAGUGGUAAGUGCCCCGCCUGGGGAGUAUGGUCGCAAGGCUGAAACUCAAAGGAAUUGACGGGGGCUCACACAAGCGGUGGAGCAUGUGGCUUAUUUCGAGGCUACGCGAAGAUC
This 876-nucleotide ribosomal RNA is filed under the name uncultured bacterium. Its description in RNAcentral is "bacterial SSU rRNA". It matches the Rfam family "Bacterial small subunit ribosomal RNA", at positions 89 to 969 of the family's 1533-position model. The record is from RNAcentral.